GAUCAUGGCUCAGGAUGAACGCUAGCGGCAGGCUUAACACAUGCAAGUCGAGGGGCAGCGCGGGGCGGCAACGUCCUGGCGGCGACCGGCGGAAGGGUGCGUAACGCGUGAGCGACAUGCCCGUUGCCCGGGGACAACCGGUGGAAACGCCGACUAAUCCCCGAUGGGACGGAGGCCCUCAUGGGUCUCUGUUGAAAGUUACGGCGGCGACGGAUUGGCUCGCGUCCGAUUAGCUUGUUGCGGGGUAACGCC
This 252-nucleotide ribosomal RNA is filed under the name uncultured bacterium. Its description in RNAcentral is "partial 16S ribosomal RNA". It matches the Rfam family "Bacterial small subunit ribosomal RNA", at positions 15 to 264 of the family's 1533-position model. The record is from RNAcentral.